Long non-coding RNA from Rosa chinensis, 180 nucleotides. RefSeq lists it as uncharacterized. The transcript has 3 exons. Lineage: Eukaryota; Viridiplantae; Streptophyta; Magnoliopsida; Rosales; Rosaceae. The record is from RefSeq and is a predicted model, not a curated record.
UGAAUGAUUCUUCAAUGAUUAACCGGGUAGUAAACCCUAUGUUUGAAGCAGCUUUUCAACUUGAUCCUAAUGGUUCUGAUUUUGGCAAGGACAAAUCAUUGAAGUUCCUGCAGCUCUGGAUCUAUCGAAGGCCAAAAUUCUCAUGGAAAAACUUCAGGAGCAUACAAAUGGUGAGUGAUG